AGCAGUAGCCGCGGGAAUACGUAGGUGGCAAGCGUUGUCCGGAAUUAUUGGGCGUAAAGCGAGCGCAGGCGGUUAGAUAAGUCUGAAGUUAAAGGCUGUGGCUUAACCAUAGUGCGCUUUGGAAACUGUUUAACUUGAGUGCAAGAGGGGAGAGUGGAAUUCCAUGUGUAGCGGUGAAAUGCGUAGAUAUAUGGAGGAACACCGGUGGCGAAAGCGGCUCUCUGGCUUGUAACUGACGCUGAGGCUCGAAAGCGUGGGGAGCAAACAGGAUUAGAUACCCGGGUAGUCCCUGUCUCUUAUACA
This 303-nucleotide ribosomal RNA is filed under the name uncultured bacterium. Its description in RNAcentral is "partial 16S ribosomal RNA". It matches the Rfam family "Bacterial small subunit ribosomal RNA", at positions 507 to 808 of the family's 1533-position model. The record is from RNAcentral.